This 758-nucleotide long non-coding RNA is filed under the name Homo sapiens (human). RNAcentral's name for it is "HSALNT0049605". The record is from RNAcentral. Lineage: Eukaryota; Metazoa; Chordata; Mammalia; Primates; Hominidae.
UGCAAAUGAUAAAUUCUGCCUUGCACAGGCGUGCUGGCUGCAGGGCAGUGCAAAUUCAAUCCUUUUCAAGUCUGGCCAAAAACAUGCCCCAAAUUAAGAGAUUGCAGCCUAUUUACAAUACAAAAUAAAAUAACUCUAGGAGGGCUUGGUGGUGGUAUGAAUAAAUGCCGUUUAUUCUCUUUCUGACGGGAUAAUUUUCAAAGCAGUGAUUUUUAUAAAAACUCAGGAAGAAAACAAUUUUGUUUCAUUUCCAUAACAGAAUCCAGACCUUGAGCUUCACCCUGCGAUCAGUGAUUACACACACACUGCACCGUUUCGGCUGCAGCGGCUCCUGCUGUCCACCGGCUCCCGUCCUCCCUGCCUGUAACCGUCUGUGGUGAUUCGCGGCACUGCAGGACCAUGAUGGCCCGGAUCUGCUCGGACGCUCCGCCUCAGCUUCUCAUGGCCGCCCUCGCUAUUGCCACCCCUGCCCAGGCUGCAUCAAGGAGGUCAGGGGCCAGGGGAGAACUCUUUUGUUAUUGAGAAGUUUGAUUGCAAGACCUGACCCUUCCUGUGUGGACGGAUGGGCAGAUGCCCAGACUGGAAAGUCCUUGUGAACUUAUGCGCCCAGGCCAGGGUCCAUAUCAUCAGUUCGUAGAAGCUGGCACAGACCAGUGAUUCAUAUGCCCAGGCCAGGUCCAUAUCAUCAGCUCACAGAAGCCAGCACAGCCCAGCGAGUAGCCCUACAGACUCCACGUGGCCCAUGAGUAUCACGGUCA